Molecule: ribosomal RNA, 496 nt
Filed under: uncultured bacterium
Lineage: Bacteria
Description: partial 16S ribosomal RNA
Rfam family: Bacterial small subunit ribosomal RNA
Source: RNAcentral
GAUGAACGCUGGCGGCGUGCCUAAUACAUGCAAGUCGAGCGAACGGACGAGAAGCUUGCUUUUCUGAUGUUAGCGGCGGACGGGUGAGUAACACGUGGAUAACCUACCUAUAAGACUGGGAUAACUUCGGGAAACCGGAGCUAAUACCGGAUAAUAUUUUGAACCGCAUGGUUCAAAAGUGAAAGACGGUCUUGCUGUCACUUAUAGAUGGAUCCGCGCUGCAUUAGCUAGUUGGUAAGGUAACGGCUUACCAAGGCAACGAUGCAUAGCCGACCUGAGAGGGUGAUCGGCAACACGGAACUGAGACACGGUCCAGACUCCUACGGGAGGCAGCAGUAGGGAAUCUUCCGCAAUGGGCGAAAGCCUGACGGAGCAACGCCGCGUGAGUGAUGAAGGUCUUCGGAUCGUAAAACUCUGUUAUUAGGGAAGAACAUAUGUGUAAGUAACUGUGCACAUCUUGACGGUACCUAAUCAGAAAGCCACGGCUAACUACGUG